GGGAAACGGGGUGGGGGCUGGGGCAGUGAGCCACCCCAGGCCUUAAGCAGUACAGGCUCA
This is a non-coding RNA of Echinops telfairi (small Madagascar hedgehog), 60 nucleotides long. The record is from Rfam. Lineage: Eukaryota; Metazoa; Chordata; Mammalia; Afrosoricida; Tenrecidae.